CCACCCAACGGGUAUCCAUAUGAGGGCACAAGGCGAGACCCAGAUGCAGACACGGGAGGCAGAUGGUUUGAGUCUUUGAUAUUUAUUAAUAAUCCAAAAACAGUAGGCGAGAGUAUAGCCGUGGUCAGGCAAAAAAGGUCAAAACCAGUUCAGAGUCCAGGAGGUACAGAGUGGCAGGCAGGCUCGAGGUCAGGGCAGGUAAAACAGGUUGGCAGGCUCGAGGUCAGGGCAGGUAAAACAGGUUGGCAGGCUCGAGGUCAGGGCAGGUAAAACAGGCUGGCAGGCUCGAGGUCAGGGCAGGUAAAACAGGUUGGCAGGCUCGAGGUCAGGGCAGGUAAAACAGGUUGGCAGGCUCGAGGUCAGGGCAGGUAAAACAGGUUGGCAGGCUCGAGGUCAGGGCAGGUAAAACAGGUUGGCAGGCUCGAGGUCAAGGCAGGUAAAACAGGUUGGCAGGCUCGAGGUCAGGGCAGGUAAAACAGGCUGGCAGGCUCGAGGUCAGGGCAGGUAAAACAGGCUGGCAGGCUCGAGGUCAGGGCAGGCAGAAUGGUCAGGCAGGCUCGAGGUCAGGGCAGGCAGAAUGGUCAGGCUGGCGGGUACAGAGUCCAGAAAACAGGGUCAAGGGUCAAAACCGGGAGGACUAGAAAAAGAGAACAGAAAAGGCAGGAGCACGGGAAAACCGCUAGUGGACUUGGAAACAUACAAG
Molecule: long non-coding RNA, 703 nt
Organism: Oncorhynchus tshawytscha (Chinook salmon)
Lineage: Eukaryota; Metazoa; Chordata; Actinopteri; Salmoniformes; Salmonidae
Source: Ensembl